GAUGAACGCUGGCGGCGUGCCUAAUACAUGCAAGUCGAGCGAACGGACGAGAAGCUUGCUUCUCUGAUGUUAGCGGCGGACGGGUGAGUAACACGUGGAUAACCUACCUAUAAGACUGGGAUAACUUCGGGAAACCGGAGCUAAUACCGGAUGAUAUUUUGAACCGCAUGGUUCAAAAGUGAAAGACGGUCUUGCUGUCACUUAUAGAUGGAUCCGCGCUGCAUUAGCUAGUUGGUAAGGUAACGGCUUACCAAGGCAACGAUGCAUAGCCGACCUGAGAGGGUGAUCGGCCACACUGGAACUGAGACACGGUCCAGACUCCUACGGGAGGCCGCAGUAGGGAAUCUUCCGCAAUGGGCGAAAGCCUGACGGAGCAACGCCGCGUGAGUGAUGAAGGUCUUCGGAUCGUAAAACUCUGUUAUUAGGGAAGAACAUAUGUGUAAGUACCUGUGCACAUCUUGACGGUACCUAAUCAGAAAGCCACGGCUAACUACGUG
This 497-nucleotide ribosomal RNA is filed under the name uncultured bacterium. RNAcentral's name for it is "partial 16S ribosomal RNA". It matches the Rfam family "Bacterial small subunit ribosomal RNA", at positions 28 to 507 of the family's 1533-position model. The record is from RNAcentral.